This 510-nucleotide ribosomal RNA is filed under the name uncultured bacterium. Its description in RNAcentral is "bacterial SSU rRNA". It matches the Rfam family "Bacterial small subunit ribosomal RNA", at positions 29 to 518 of the family's 1533-position model. The record is from RNAcentral.
ACGAACGCUGGCGGCGUGCUUAACACAUGCAAGUCGAACGCGAAAGGGACUUCGGUCCUGAGUAAAGUGGCGCACGGGUGAGUAACGCGUAGAUAACCUGUCUUCAUGUCUGGAAUAAUACGCCGAAAGGGGUACUAAUACCGGAUAUUCUUGCUUUUCAUAAGUUAUGCAAGCAAAGGUGGCCUCUGCAUAUGCUACUGCAUGAAGAGGGGUCUGCGUACCAUUAGCUAGUAGGUGGGGUAAUGGCCUACCUAGGCGACGAUGGUUAGCGGGUCUGAGAGGAUGAUCCGCCACACUGGCACUGGAACACGGGCCAGACUCCUACGGGAGGCAGCAGUGAGGAAUAUUGCGCAAUGGGGGAAACCCUGACGCAGCGACGCCGCGUGAGUUGAGGAAGGCCUUCGGGUCGUAAAGCUCUGUCAAGAGGAAAGAAGUGUACAAUGGCUAAUACCUGUUGUAUUUGACGGUACCUCUAAAGGAAGCACCGGCUAACUCCGUGCCAGCCGCGGC